AGGAAAGAAAAAAACAGAACUAAUGACAGACGUCAAAUUUUACAUUUUUUUUAUUAUAAUUUUUUAUUUAAAUUUAAGUUUAUAUAUAUUGAGAAGCUAGCCAUUGACGCUUGUGGGGUUAUAAAAGAACAAAAAGCUCAAGAUUUUUAAUUUUCCUCUUGCCUUAAAUUCUGAACUUUUGUAUUUUAUUUUUUUUUCUACUUAAAGAAAAUAUAAAAUAUUUUUACUAUGUUUACUCUGCGUACAGUGGCUGAUUUUUUUUUUCUUUUGUUUUCUCUGUUUUCAUGGUUUUGUUAUGUAUAAAAAGUAAAACUAGUAUGGUACAAAAGGCUAUAAACAAAAAUUAAUGAUAAUAAUUUGUAGCAACAUCGUUUUGGCUGGUUGUUGUGCAAACAAGUCAUCCAUCCAAGUCUUAAUUUCUGUGCAACGCGCUCUUUACUUUGAUGUGAAUGAUCAUCGCUGGAACAGUUACUCUUCAACAU
This 482-nucleotide long non-coding RNA is filed under the name Durio zibethinus. RNAcentral's name for it is "long non-coding RNA (DZIB_LNC000329)". Lineage: Eukaryota; Viridiplantae; Streptophyta; Magnoliopsida; Malvales; Malvaceae. The record is from RNAcentral.